Non-coding RNA from Paramuricea clavata, 95 nucleotides. The record is from the annotation of a GenBank genome assembly. NCBI's taxonomy places the organism in Eukaryota, Metazoa, Cnidaria, Anthozoa, Malacalcyonacea, Plexauridae.
GUGUGUUGUUGGUGGUAUGUACUCAGGUGAAUAUGAUGUUUGUGAUGUUAGUAACACUACAAACAUCAUAUUCACCUGAGUACAUAACACCAAUA